Siniperca chuatsi (mandarin fish) is the source of this 382-nucleotide long non-coding RNA. RefSeq lists it as uncharacterized. Lineage: Eukaryota; Metazoa; Chordata; Actinopteri; Centrarchiformes; Sinipercidae. The record is from RefSeq and is a predicted model, not a curated record. The transcript is spliced from 5 exons.
UCCACUGGGACCAUCCAGUUGAGGGCCUGCUUACAAUACAGCAGCAAUGUCAUCACCACUGAUCAUUGUGUAUUUCAAUGGCCUCUCCUUAUCUCUUAUGGGUCAAUAAGGUAAAGUGAAUUUACACACAAGCCACACAAGUCUUUUUCUUGGGAACCUCCACAGCUUCUCUAUGAAAAUCCUAGAAAUGGUCACAGAUGGAUGUGUAUGGAGCCUUGUGGGCAUUCACAAGGUGGAUGGAGACAAUCACACUGCUGCCUAGAAAAACUACUACAUAUGACCAAAAUCUGGAUGUAACCUCUUUACACAUCAGCCAUGCCCCUCCACAAUCACAUAGUGAAAGAUUCCUGGACGCAGGACAGCCCCGCAGCUGCAUGUGCAG